AAUAGAUACCCCGGUAGUCCAUGCCGUAAACGUUGGGCACUAGGUGUGGGGCUCAUUCCACGAGUUCCGUGCCGCAGCAAACGCAUUAAGUGCCCCGCCUGGGGAGUACGGCCGCAAGGCUAAAACUCAAAGGAAUUGACGGGGGCCCGCACAAGCGGCGGAGCAUGCGGAUUAAUUCGAUGCAACGCGAAGAACCUUACCAAGGCUUGACAUGCACGGGAAGCCACCAGAGAUGGUGGUCUCUUUGGACACUCGUGCACAGGUGGUGCAUGGUUGUCGUCAGCUCGUGUCGUGAGAUGUUGGGUUAAGUCCCGCAACGAGCGCAACCCUCGUCCCAUGUUGCCAGCGGGUUAUGCCGGGGACUCAUGGGAGACUGCCGGGGUCAACUCGGAGGAAGGUGGGGAUGACGUCAAAUCAUCAUGCCCCUUAUGUCUUGGGCUUCACGCAUGCUACAAUGGCCGGUACAAAGGGCUGCGAUACCGUAAGGUGGAGCGAAUCCCAAAAAGCCGGUCUCAGUUCGGUAUUGGGGU
This 530-nucleotide ribosomal RNA is filed under the name uncultured bacterium. RNAcentral's name for it is "bacterial SSU rRNA". It matches the Rfam family "Bacterial small subunit ribosomal RNA", at positions 777 to 1305 of the family's 1533-position model. The record is from RNAcentral.